AGCAGUCGCCGCGGGAAUACGGAGGGGGCUAGCGUUGUUCGGAAUUACUGGGCGUAAAGCGCACGUAGGCGGCUUUGUAAGUCAGAGGUGAAAGCCUGGAGCUCAACUCCAGAAUUGCCUUUGAGACUGCAUCGCUUGAAUCCGGGAGAGGUGAGUGGAAUUCCGAGUGUAGAGGUGAAAUUCGUAGAUAUUCGGAAGAACGCCAGUGGCGAAGGCGGCUCACUGGACCGACACUGACGCUGAGGCGCGAAAGCGUGGGGAGCAAACAGGAUUAGAUACCCGGGUAGUCCCUGUCUCUUAUAC
This 303-nucleotide ribosomal RNA is filed under the name uncultured bacterium. Its description in RNAcentral is "partial 16S ribosomal RNA". It matches the Rfam family "Bacterial small subunit ribosomal RNA", at positions 507 to 807 of the family's 1533-position model. The record is from RNAcentral.